RNAcentral lists this microRNA precursor (84 nucleotides) under Bombyx mori (domestic silkworm). RNAcentral describes it as "mir-2807 microRNA precursor family". It matches the Rfam family "mir-2807 microRNA precursor family". Lineage: Eukaryota; Metazoa; Arthropoda; Insecta; Lepidoptera; Bombycidae. The record is from Rfam by way of RNAcentral.
UUAGCUGAUAUUUGUAUGGAGUGGGAUCGUUUGCGUACGUUUGCCGCUAGGGGCGCUGUUCCAACUGCAUACAAAAUUGGCUUA